CCUUGUGGAGGAGGACGCCGAAGGUGGGGCUAAUGACUGGGGUGAAGUCGUAACAAGGUAGCCGUACCGGAAGGUGCGGCUGGAUCACCUCCUAACAGGGAGACAACAAAAUGUUUAAUAUUAUUAUUUUGUCACCUUAGGUCGAUCGGUAUCUCACGUUCUUAAUUUUUAAGAAUUUCAUUUCCUAAGUUUUUCUAGGUCACACCCAUUAUUUUUCCUGGGCCAUUAGCUCAGGUGGUUAGAGCGCACCCCUGAUAAGGGUGAGGUCCCUGGUUCAAGUCCAGGAUGGCCCAUAUCUCUAUGUUGGGGGUAUAGCUCAGUUGGUAGAGCGCCUGCUUUGCAAGCAGGAUGUCAGCGGUUCGAGUCCGCUUACCUCCACUGAUUACCACCUCUUCCAUAACCGGUAGAAAGGAAAUGUUUUGAGUUGUGAUCAUUAUUCUGAACGAAUCUAGCUUCCUAAUGAAAUCAUUAAGAUGCUGGACUCAUUGAAUUAAUUUCAUUGUUUUCAGAGAACCUUGACAACUGCAUAGAUUUUUUUAAAGACAAUAAGCAUCUUUAAUGAUGCAGAUUUAUUAUUUGUGCGAAUGCAUUAAUAACAAUUCUAUUAAGCUGAUGCUUCAAUUUUUGAAGUUAUUGGUCAAGCUACAAAGGGCUCACGGAGGA
RNAcentral lists this unclassified non-coding RNA (663 nucleotides) under uncultured Prochlorococcus sp. RNAcentral's name for it is "partial may contain 16S ribosomal RNA, 16S-23S ribosomal RNA intergenic spacer, and 23S ribosomal RNA". The stretch from base 1 to 95 matches the Rfam family "Bacterial small subunit ribosomal RNA", at positions 1439 to 1533 of the family's 1533-position model. The record is from RNAcentral. Lineage: Bacteria; Bacillati; Cyanobacteriota; Cyanophyceae; Synechococcales; Prochlorococcaceae.